Anolis carolinensis (green anole) is the source of this 103-nucleotide small nuclear RNA. The record is from Ensembl. NCBI's taxonomy places the organism in Eukaryota, Metazoa, Chordata, Lepidosauria, Squamata, Anolidae.
UUGUUUCAGUAGCUCAUAUAUUAAAAUUUGAACACCACAGAGAAGAUUAGCAUUGUCCCUCUGCAAGGAUGACAGAUUCGGCACUGAGGAUGUUACUUCUUCA